CCCUUAGACGUUCUGGGCCGCACGCGCGCUACACUGACCAGUGCAACAAGCAUCCGUCCUUGGCCGACAGGCUCGGGCAAUCUUUGAACGCUGGUCGUGAUGGGGAUAGACUUUUGCAAUUUUUGGUCUUCAACGAGGAAUUCCUAGUAAACGCAAGUCAUCAACUUGCAUUGAUUACGUCCCUGCCCUUUGUACACACCGCCCGUCGCACCUACCGAUUGAAUGGUCCGGUGAAUCUUUAGGACUGUGGCUGAGGCCUUGCCUUGUGCGGGUCUGGCCGUGGGAAUUUAGUUAAACCUUACCAUUUAGAGGAAGGUGAANUCGUANCA
This 329-nucleotide ribosomal RNA is filed under the name uncultured eukaryote. Its description in RNAcentral is "partial 18S ribosomal RNA". It matches the Rfam family "Eukaryotic small subunit ribosomal RNA", at positions 1470 to 1796 of the family's 1831-position model. The record is from RNAcentral.